This 77-nucleotide transfer RNA is filed under the name Deltaproteobacteria bacterium. RNAcentral describes it as "tRNA-Arg". It matches the Rfam family "tRNA". Rfam says of the family: Transfer RNA (tRNA) molecules are approximately 80 nucleotides in length. Their secondary structure includes four short double-helical elements and three loops (D, anti-codon, and T loops). Further hydrogen bonds mediate the characteristic L-shaped molecular structure. tRNAs have two regions of fundamental functional importance: the anti-codon, which is responsible for specific mRNA codon recognition, and the 3' end, to which the tRNAs corresponding amino acid is attached (by aminoacyl-tRNA synthetases). tRNAs cope with the degeneracy of the genetic code in two manners: having more than one tRNA (with a specific anti-codon) for a particular amino acid; and 'wobble' base-pairing, i.e. permitting non-standard base-pairing at the 3rd anti-codon position. The record is from RNAcentral. Lineage: Bacteria; Pseudomonadati; Myxococcota; Myxococcia.
GGGCGAUUAGCUCAGUUGGAUAGAGCGUUGGCCUCCGAAGCCAAAGGCCGUGGGUCCGAAUCCCAUAUUGCCCUCCA